AUUUGGGAGGGUUAACAUUAGGAGAAAUACCUAAUGUAGGUGGCAGGGGUAUGGAUGCAGUACACCACCAUGCCAUGUGUAUACCUAUGUAACAAUCCUGCACUAUCUACACAUAUACCCCAGAACUUAAAGUA
Sapajus apella (tufted capuchin) is the source of this 134-nucleotide long non-coding RNA. RefSeq lists it as uncharacterized. The transcript is spliced from 2 exons. The record is from RefSeq and is a predicted model, not a curated record. NCBI's taxonomy places the organism in Eukaryota, Metazoa, Chordata, Mammalia, Primates, Cebidae.